GCAAUCACUAGGCUGCUAUUCAGUGGAGUGGCUGUAUGGUCCCAAAUCUGGGAUUAAGGGUCUGUUAAAAUGGUAAACAUUCAACAUUGGCCAUGCUGUCAAUGAAGAAUGAUUUGUGCCGUCCUCAAAACAACUGUUAACUCGGAACUGCGAGAACUUGACUUCAGUGAGUUCAAGACCACUGGGAAGUUGGGAAUAAACGAGCUCCGACUGGGAAAAUACGUUUUGAAAGGUCAUCCAACUCGGAAUUGUAAAUCCAGCCUCUAUCUAGAGCUAUGACCUGAAGAUUAAUGACAUCAUGAUUCGACCUUGUUUUUUCAGUUACCAGUUGUUUUGAAAGCACCAUAAAUCCAGAGAAUGCCAGACUUUGAUGACAAUUUGCCCACGAAGGACCACUGCGCCACCUUCCUGUGAGCACAGCACAACCAGACCAUCACACCCUACCUACUGGCCUUACAAUCCAGGAGCAACCCCCCCGCCUCAGUUUGCUUUUUGCUGUGUGUGAAAUUAAAUGGCUAAUUGAGA
Long non-coding RNA from Salmo salar (Atlantic salmon), 525 nucleotides. RefSeq lists it as uncharacterized. The record is from RefSeq and is a predicted model, not a curated record. NCBI's taxonomy places the organism in Eukaryota, Metazoa, Chordata, Actinopteri, Salmoniformes, Salmonidae.